Molecule: ribosomal RNA, 375 nt
Filed under: uncultured bacterium
Lineage: Bacteria
Description: bacterial SSU rRNA
Rfam family: Bacterial small subunit ribosomal RNA
Source: RNAcentral
UUAACAUUUGGAAACAAAUGCUAAUACCGUAUAAUAAUUAAAACCGCAUGGUUUUAGUUUAAAAGAUGGUCUUGCUAUCACUAAGAGAUGGUCCCGCGUGUAUUAGUUAGUUGGUGAGGUAAUGGCUCACCAAGACAAUGAUACAUAGCCGAGUUGAGAGACUGACCGGCCACAAUGGGACUGAGACACGGCCCAUACUCCUACGGAGGCAGCAGUAGGGAAUCUUCCACAAUGGACGAAAGUCUGAUGGAGCAACGCCGCGUGUGUGAUGAAGGGUUUCGGCUCGUAAAACACUGUUGUAAGAGAAGAAUGACAUUGAGAGUAACUGUUCAAUGUGUGACGGUAUCUUACCAGAAAGGAACGGCUAAAUACGUG